UUCAUACACUAUCUCAAAAUAAAAUCAUGUUUUAAAAAUAAAAUCACCCCCACAACCAUAAAAAUUCAAAUGUCACAACAUAACCACCCAAAAUUUUUCUAUAAAUAGGGAAUACCAUGAAAAAUGAUGUAUCUAUCAACACACCAAAAAAAACUUGUAAAAAACCUAAGUUAUUGUAGAAGAAGAAGAAUCUGGAGAAAGUCAUGGACAAAUUCAAAGAAGGAAUUGUCAAAAUGUCCUACAGUGAACCAAAUUCUCUAUUAUUAGAGGCCAAAAAUUUGAUUCAUCAACAUCUUGAUCGGUUUAUGUCUGGUCUUCGGGGUAGAUCAGACUACCCCGAUCAUCAUCCUUAUGGUUUAUUAAUUCAUAUUUUCACUUAAGUUUGUGAUUUUUUAGAAUUAACUUAUUUUGUAGAAUGUUUUAAUUAAUCCCAUUUAUCUUUUUUUUUUCCUUCGAAUUUUUGAAAAAAUUAGGAUUGAUUAUUGGAUACAAAUGAAUUCUUUCGUUAUAGAUUUCAAUUUGAGGAGGGGUUAACUCUUAUGAAUUUUUUUGAUUAAUUAUGUAAAUCAAAUCUUUAUAGUGUACUCGAAUUUAUUGUUUUGUUAUAGAUGAUUGAAAAGGUGUUGUACGAAUCAGACAAAGAAGGGGGUUCGAAUGAAGAUUUGAUAUCUGAGUUUUUUUAUCAUGUAAAAUAAUUACAGUUUUCCAAGGUCUCAUACAACAAUGUAGAAACAUCAUCUAAAUAAGAUGUGUGAAUGGGGCGGGGGGAAUGUUAUUAUUGAUGGAGACGGUUUUGGCUUCUUGGUGACGGCGAAAACUCAAAUACAAAGAGAAAAGGAAAGAGCAAGAGAAGGGGAGUUUUUCAAAUGUACAAAAGAAGCAGCAACAAAAGGAAAAGGAGGUGGAUCCUCGACAUGUGGUGCAUUUGGAGCAACUAAAAAAACAUGGUCAUGUGAGGCCUUCUAACAACAAGGAAGAAGGGGCCAAAAAUGGUGAUGAUAGAACUUCAACAUUGGUUCAUUUGUUGCCAAAGAUGAAAUUCUACCAUCAUCUGUUUUUGCCCAAACCUCCUUGUACUUAGCAAGCCUCCCACGACCUUGUUUGAUUACUUGCACCAAAUGCACUGUGUGUUGAGGAUCCUUUCCCUUUUGUUGUGGCUUCUAUUGUGUUAUUGAUGAAUUCCCCCUUCUUUUGCUCUUUCCUUUUCUCUUUAGAUUCAAGUUUUCACUAUAAGAAAAAAUCGUCCUCCAUCAAUCAUAAGUACUUCCCCCUUCUCAUACAUCUACUGUGAAUGAUGUUUUAGCAGAGGGUCAUAUGAGCUCUUUGCAGACUAUCAUACUCCUUCUUGAAAAACUAGAUAUCGAGUCUUCAUCGGAACCCAAUUUGUGCCUUUUCAAUCAUUUAUAACAAAAGAAAGGAUUGGAUUAGACUAUAGCCUCACAAUACCUGGUUUUUGACUAUACCUUCUAUAUCGACAUUAAAUCAGGGAUCUCUCCCAAAUCAGGGUCUCCCAUUAUAGCUAACGGUCAUUAUCUUAAAAAGUAGAUAAUUAGGAAUAUAUUAAUUGUGUAAAUAUAUUGUAAAUACUACAGUUUUAUUAUUCAAUAAAUAGAUCACAAUUCAAUUAUCUCUAUUUGUUUUGGAUCUCUAUCGUUAUCCAACUUGGUAUCAAGAGCCUUGUUUUUUCCCUAUAUCCUCACUAUUCUAUUUUUUUCUCUCCAGUAAAGUUGUUUCGUUCAUCUUUGGUUUGGAUUCUUAAUCCAUAUCCAUCAUUCCUAUCAUCUCUGAAUCUAUUCCUUGAUAGAUCCCUUUUGACUUCUCUUUAGCUCUUUGAAUUAGGAUAGAUUCACGAGAUACCUUGUCAACAAAAUUUGAUGGGCAUGACUAUCCGAUUUGGAAGUUCCAUUACAAUGCCUUCAUUAGAAGCAAACGCCUCCUUGAUAUUCUGGAUGGCUCAAAUGUUGUACCCACGAAGACAAAGAAAAAUAGGCCUAGGAGGCUGACAAUAACAGAAUUAUCACAUGGCUUUUCUAUUCCGUCUCGGUUGAUGUAGACAUGAAACUGACAACUUUUGAGAAAGCAUCAGAAAUGUGGAGUCAUGUUUAUACCCUUGGUAACCAACCAAAUCUGGCUUGAUAAUUUGAAUUGGAAACACUACUUGCAUAAUUUAUACAAGGUGAUAAAAGUGUUCGGCAUUUCUAUUCUGUAUUACUCACAUUAUGGGCUAUACAAGAUCAACUUUUUGCUGCCUUUAUCCUUGAGGUUGGAUUUAAGGAUUUCAUGAAUACGAUGAAGAGGACAAGGGAAGUUCAAUUUUUAAUGAAGCUCAGGCCCGAGGUCGAGCAUUUACAUUCUAGUAUUCUUAAUUGCAAAAAACUACCAACUUUGGAGGUGGUAGUUUCUAAAGGUCUUCGAGAAGAAACUCUGUUGAGUUCUCAAGCUUCUAUGGAGAACUACCUUACCGUGGACACUCCCUUGGUUGCAUACACAAUUUCUUCUUCCUCGGGAAACUCUAACAAGCCUGUUAAAUGCUAUCAUUGCCAGGAAAUAGUACAUGUUAUUUCCCACUGCAAGAUCAUAUUUCUUGUUAAGUCUCAACACCAACAUAGGAUCCACUGCCAUAUUCUCUUAUCAUCUCAUCGAUAGAUAUUGUGGUAGCUUCAAACUUUCAAAAAUCAUAUCGUUUGUUUUAAGACUUCAGUAUCAGCUUCUUCUAUUUGAUCUCUGCUUUCUUCAUUUGCUUUCAGAAUUUUCUCCGAGUCAUUAAUUGACCUUCAUAUUGCGGAUGAUUGACCAUAUACCGCCACUUCUAAUACAUCUCCCCCAAUGCUUUCCUUGUAAACGUCACCACUAGCAAAUGUAGUUUUAGAUAUUGUCUAUUAAAGAUCUUCUUCUUUGAUUUCUUCAAUAAUAUGUUCAUAUCGACAACAUCAGUUGCUUGCUUCUCCACAUGAUCGACUAUAUUAUAUUCAAUAUCCUUGAUCCAUUCUCUUUCAAUAUUGAUGGAAAUCAUGGCAACUAUUGCCCGAGCCUCAGCUACUAAACAAUUUUCCCUCUCUUCUUCUACUUCAACAACUUUUUGAGCCAUAUUGCUCUUUUGCUUGACGAUAUGUUUUUGUGUGUCUUACUUUACCACAACAAUAGCAUCUAAGAAGCUUCUAACAAUAAUUGUUAGAAGACUCUUCCUUCUCUCCAGGUGAGCGUAAACCACCUGAGGAUCGAGAGUCUGGCACAUCUCUUGUUUUUCCUUUAAAGUUUCUGUUGUUGGCUAUAAGAGCAUUUCCUUCUCCUUCUUUGAAAAAUACACUAGCCAAUUUCUUGGCUAGUAGUUGUUUUGACGACAACAAAUUUUCAAACUCCUCAAAGAAUUGUUUUUGAGACCAUUUUUGAAUUGACGUCAUAAAUGAAAUAUAUUCAGGUUUGAAACUAAAAAAAAUAAUUCUUCUCAUUCGUGCUUCAGAGAUAGCCUCUUCCGUAUUCAACAAAGAUAUCUCAGAACAUAUGUUUAUGAUAUUCAAAAAGUACUCGGAGAUAGAAAGGUUACCUUGAGUGGUAUUAGCCAAUUCAUUCUCCAAUAUCUGCAACCUAGAUUCAUUCUUCUUGUUGAACAAGCUAUCGAGGGUCCUCCAUAUUUCAUAAGUUGGUUUACACUUUAUAAUGUGAUCAGAUAAACCGGAAGAGAUUGUCCUUUUCAGAAUGAACUCCGCCUUUGCAUUAACCUGCUUCCACUUCUUGUACUAUUUUCCAGUCCGUCAGCAGGACUUGAGUCAUUACCAUUAACAACAUAUCACGAAUCCUCUCCUGCAAGGUAUGAUUCUAUAAAUGUCUUUCAUACCUUGUAAGUGAACUGAUUUAAUAACUCCAUCCUCAGUCCAUUAACAUGACCCCUAAAAUUCAUAUAGACAAACUAGUUGAAUCCACCACUAACCCGAUCUUGAAAUAACACACUAACAAAUCCAUGGAUAUGGCUAUGAUACCAUGUAGAGAAUAGAAGAAGAAAAGUAUAAUCAUGGAGACCUUCUCCUAGCCCAAGAUCGUUAAAAAUGAUUGAAAGAUUCAACUAAGAAAGAGGAAGAUAGAAAGGAGAACUUGUUUAUGGAAGAAGACUAUUUUAUUUGAGUUGUUCUUGGUUUUUUGGGUUCCAUACAAAUGUCUAAUGCCACCACUAUUUAUGCUUGUAAACGGAUACUUCUAGAAAUUAUUCUAGUUAUUUCUACAAGAAAAAUACAGAUAUCUUAUCUUCUAAUCUUGUAAUAAGAACCUAGAUAUUUGUAUACUUUAUUAUAAAUAUCUAAUUAUCUAGAACCUCUAGAUUUUUCUUUAGUAUAAAUAUCAAAUUAAAGAUAUUUACUCUGCAAACUUCUAGGAAGUUCUACUAAAUAUCAAAGAUAUUUUUUUGUACCUUCAAAUAAUCAUCUUUAACUUUUCACUAAUCUUUUAUCUGUUGGGCAACUUGUAGCACAAAAUUUUUUGGUUAUUUUUUCUCCUAAUUAUUGUGUUAUUCAAAACAUAUUGACCGGGGAAACGAUGGCCAGGGGACGUAAGUUUGGCAGGUUGUUUCUUCUUCAAUCUUAGGAUACAAAACUUCAUCAGUGUUUUCUUCUAGCUUCAAAUAAACAUAUUCAUUUUCAAAUAAAAUGUGUAAUUUGUGGCAUCUCCGUUUAGGCUAUCCACACGCUUCUCAGUUAUAUUUUAUGCUUAAAUCUUGUAAUUUAUUGGGAAAAGAUUCACUGAUUUUUCCCUCUAAAUUACCUUGUGAAAGUUGUGCAAAAUCAAUGAGUUUUCCUUUUCAACUAAGAAAUACUAAUUAUUUUAAUCCUUUUGAUUUAAUUCAUAGCGAUAUUUGGGGACCUUCUCCAAUUAUAUAUAUCUCGUUUGGGAUACAAGUAUUUAUUUCUAUUCAUUGAUCAAGUAUCUCGUGAUACAUCGAUUUUCUUCUUGAAACACAAGUCUGAGGUACCAAAUGUUGUCAAGAAAAUUUAUGACCUUAUAGAAACCAAAUUUGGGGAAAAGAUCAAGAUUUUUCAUUCUGAUUCAGAAGGGGAAUAUGUCAAUAAAAACCUCACUAAUUUUUUUAACAAAAAGGCAUAAUUUACCAGCGUUCUUGUCCGUAUGCACCGGAACAAAAUGGUGUGCUGGAACGUAAGAAUAGACAUGUUGUUGAAACUGCCUUAUCCCUUCUUGAUACUUCAAAUGUUCCAAAAUUAUUUUGGGUUGAAUAAAUCCAAGAAUCUAUUUAUCUCAUAAAUAGACAAUCAUUCUCGAUCAUGAAACAAAUUAUCCUUAUUUUAUUCUUUUCAAAAAAUUGCCUAACUAUUCACAUCUUAGAGUAUUUGGUUGUGUGUGCUUUAUUCUUCUUCCGGAUCAUGAACGUCAUAAAUUAUCUUUAUAAGCCGUUAAAUGUGUUUUAUUAGGAUGCAAUGAUAUCCAAAAUGGUAUUUGUGUUAUGAUUCAACACGUCGUUCAUUACGAAUCUCACGACAUGUUAUCUUCUUUGAUAAUUCUUUUAUUUAUAGUAACAAAGACUCACAAUUCUCUACUAUGUCUUUCCUGAAUAACUUUCUUCUCAUGAUGCUACUUGCCAUAGCCACCUUGUCAUUGGUCCUUCAUUGACUAUGUACUCUACCACAUCAGGUACUACUUAUGACUUUGAUCCUUUUUUUAUAAUGAUACUACUUUGGCUAAUAGUAACUCUUUAGCUCACUUAUAUAAUGCCUUAUUAAAUCUUAACAACCAACCUUCCCCCACUCGUCAAAAUAGCAUUGACCCCAUUAGAUGAUCAUUUCGGCAUGCUUUACCCUCCAGAACGAUAUGGAUGCUCAACAAGUGAAUAUGCUUGAUCUUAUGCCUUACUAACAACCUUGAAUUCUAUUGUUGUACAAAACUCUUACAUGUAGGCUAGUGGUAUGAAAUGAUGAGAGGAUGCAAUGCAUGAAGAAUUAGUUGCCCUUGAGGAGAAUGAUACAUGGGAUUUGGUGGAUAGACCAACAAAUGCAACAAUUAUUGGAAGUAGAUUGGUGUACUCAGUCAAGAUGAAAGAUGAUGGAUACCUAGAUCGAUACAAAGCAAAAUUAGUAGCUCAAGGAUACAAACAAGAAUAUGGAAUCGACUAUGAUGAAAUAUUAGAUCCAGUAGCUUUUAUGACAACCUUACGUAUAUUGCUUGCCUUAACAUCAAUAAAAGGUUGUAAGUUACAUCAACUGGACGUCAAGAACGCUUUCCUGCAUGGAAACCUGCAAGAAGUGCUCUACAUGAAUCCACCACCAAGUUAUAAAUAUAUUAAACAAAAUCAGGUUUGUCAUCUUAAGAAAUCUCUCUAUGGAUCAAAGCAAGCUCCUCGCUCUCGGUUUGAAAAGUUUUGCUCCACAAUCUUGCUGGUUUUACUCAAAGUAGAUCAAAUUAUUCAUUAUUCUUAUGUCGGAGUACCUCAGGUUGAUUAGAUACAUGAUAUUUACUACUUAUUCCCAUUAUCUUUAUCACUGGAGAUGGUGGGAUACGCUGACGCAAAUUGGGCAGGAUUCCCGUAUUCAAGACGAUCAACUACAGGUUGGUGCAUGAUACUUGGCUUGUGCAUGAUUUCUUGGAAGUGCAAGAAACAAUCUUGAACAUCAAAGUCAUCCGUAGAGGCAUAAUAUUAAAGUAUGUUUGCUGCAUGCUCUGAAAUCAUUUGGCUGCGAAGAUUGCUAUCAAAACUUGGCAUCAAAAUUAAAGGAUCAACCACAUUGUAUGGAGACAACACUAGUGCAAUCAGAAUAGCAACAAACCUCGUCCAUCAUGAAAACGCCAAGCACAUAGAUAUAGACUUUGACGACAUUAGAGAACUGAUUGAAGAUUGGAGUAUUAGCCUGAAGCAUUUAUACUCUAAAGAUCAACGGUCUGACUUAUUUACAAAGGUUGUGUCAAGGAGUAAAAACAAUUAUGUACUGUCCAAACUCAUAUUUUGUGAUACACAACAUUAGUUCGAUGGAGGGUGUUUACUAUACCUUUAUUGACCCUAAAUUAGGGAUCUUCCCCAAUCAAGGCUCUCCCAGCUAACAUUCAUUAUCUUAAAACCAGUAGAUGAUUAGGACUCUAUUACUUGUAUAAAUAUCUUCUAAAUUCUACAUUUUUAUUUUUCAAAAAAUAGAUCAUAAUUCUAUUAUACUAAUUGUUUUGGA
Solanum lycopersicum (tomato) is the source of this 7157-nucleotide long non-coding RNA. RefSeq lists it as uncharacterized. The record is from RefSeq and is a predicted model, not a curated record. Lineage: Eukaryota; Viridiplantae; Streptophyta; Magnoliopsida; Solanales; Solanaceae.